UAAUACGGAGGGUGCAAGCGUUAUCCGGAAUCACUGGGUUUAAAGGGUGCGUAGGCGGUCUAAUAAGUCAGUUGUGAAAUUCCCCGGCUUAACCGGGUGGACUGCGAUUGAUACUGUUAGACUUGAAUCAGGUUGAGGUAGGCGGAAUGUGACAUGUAGCGGUGAAAUGCUUAGAUAUGUCAUAGAACACCGAUUGCGAAGGCAGCUUGCUGGGCUUAGAUUGACGCUGAGGCACGAAAGCGUGGGGAGCAAACAGGAUUAGAUACCCUGGUAGUCCACGCCCUAAACGAUGUUUACUUGCUGUUCCUCGCUUGACGGGGAGUGGCGAAGCGAAAGCGAUAAGUAAACCACCUGGGGAGUACGCCGGCAACGGUG
This 375-nucleotide ribosomal RNA is filed under the name uncultured bacterium. RNAcentral describes it as "bacterial SSU rRNA". It matches the Rfam family "Bacterial small subunit ribosomal RNA", at positions 521 to 896 of the family's 1533-position model. The record is from RNAcentral.